Non-coding RNA from Triticum aestivum (bread wheat), 105 nucleotides. The record is from Rfam. NCBI's taxonomy places the organism in Eukaryota, Viridiplantae, Streptophyta, Magnoliopsida, Poales, Poaceae.
CAUGUACUCCCUCCGUUCCGAAUUACUUGUCUUGGAUUUGUCUAGAUACGGAUUCCGUAUCUAGACAAAUCCAAGACAAGUAAUUCGGAACGGAGAGAGUAGUUC